Molecule: ribosomal RNA, 481 nt
Filed under: uncultured bacterium
Lineage: Bacteria
Description: partial 16S ribosomal RNA
Rfam family: Bacterial small subunit ribosomal RNA
Source: RNAcentral
UUGCACGCUGGCGGCAGGCCUAACACAUGCAAGUCGAGCGGAUGAAGGGAGCUUGCUCCUGGAUUCAGCGGCGGACGGGUGAGUAAUGCCUAGGAAUCUGCCUGGUAGUGGGGGAUAACGUCCGGAAACGGGCGCUAAUACCGCAUACGUCCUGAGGGAGAAAGUGGGGGAUCUUCGGACCUCACGCUAUCAGAUGAGCCUAGGUCGGAUUAGCUAGUUGGUGGGGUAAAGGCCUACCAAGGCGACGAUCCGUAACUGGUCUGAGAGGAUGAUCAGUCACACUGGAACUGAGACACGGUCCAGACUCCUACGGGAGGCAGCAGUGGGGAAUAUUGGACAAUGGGCGAAAGCCUGAUCCAGCCAUGCCGCGUGUGAAGAAGGUCUUCGGAUUGUAAAGCACUUUAAGUUGGGAGGAAGGGCAGUAAGUUAAUACCUUGCUGUUUUGACGUUACCAACAGAAUAAGCACCGGCUAACUUCGUG